AGUGAACGCUGGCGGUAGGCCUAACACAUGCAAGUCGAACGGCAGCACAGGAGAGCUUGCUCUCUAGGUGGCGAGUGGCGGACGGGUGAGGAAUACAUCGGAAUCUGCCCAGUCGUGGGGGAUAACGUAGGGAAACUUACGCUAAUACCGCAUACGACCUUCUGGUGAAAGAGGGGGAUCGCAAGACCUCUCGCGAUUGGAUGAGCCGAUGUCGGAUUAGCUAGUUAGCGGGGUAAUGGCCCACCAAGGCGACGAUCCGUAGCUGGUCUGAGAGGAUGAUCAGCCACACUGGAACUGAGACACGGUCCAGACUCCUACGGGAGGCAGCAGUGGGGAAUAUUGGGCAAUGGGCGCGAGCCUGAUCCAGCCAUACCGCGUAGGUGAAGAAGGCCUUCCGGUUGUAAAGCCCUUUUGUUGGGAAAGAAAUCUUUCAGGCUAAUACCCUGGGAGGAUGACGGUACCCAAAGAAUAAGCACCGGCUAACUUCGUG
Molecule: ribosomal RNA, 490 nt
Filed under: uncultured bacterium
Lineage: Bacteria
Description: partial 16S ribosomal RNA
Rfam family: Bacterial small subunit ribosomal RNA
Source: RNAcentral